AGUGAACGCUGGCGGUAGGCCUAACACAUGCAAGUCGAACGGCAGCACAGUAAGAGCUUGCUCUUACGGGUGGCGAGUGGCGGACGGGUGAGGAAUACAUCGGAAUCUACUUUUUCGUGGGGGAUAACGUAGGGAAACUUACGCUACUACCGCAUACGCCCUCCGGGUGAAAGCCGGGGAUCUUCGGACCUUGCGCUAUUGAAUGAGCCGAUGUCGGAUUAGCUAGUUGGCGGGGUAAAGGCCCACCAAGGCGACGAUCCGUAGCUGGUCUGAGAGGAUGAUCAGCCACACUGGAACUGAGACACGGUCCAGACUCCUACGGGAGGCAGCAGUGGGGAAUAUUGGACAAAGGGCGCAAGCCUGAUCCAGCCAUACCGCGUGGGUGAAGAAGGCCUUCGGGUUGUAAAGCCCUUUUGUUGGGAAAGAAAAGCAGCAGGUUAAUACCCCGCUGUUCUGACGGUACCCAAAGAAUAAGCACCGGCUAACUUCGUG
Molecule: ribosomal RNA, 492 nt
Filed under: uncultured bacterium
Lineage: Bacteria
Description: partial 16S ribosomal RNA
Rfam family: Bacterial small subunit ribosomal RNA
Source: RNAcentral